RNAcentral lists this ribosomal RNA (492 nucleotides) under uncultured bacterium. RNAcentral describes it as "partial 16S ribosomal RNA". It matches the Rfam family "Bacterial small subunit ribosomal RNA", at positions 29 to 507 of the family's 1533-position model. The record is from RNAcentral.
AGUGAACGCUGGCGGUAGGCCUAACACAUGCAAGUCGAACGGCAGCACAGUAAGAGCUUGCUCUUACGGUUGGCGAGUGGCGGACGGGUGAGGAAUACAUCGGAAUCUACUUUUUCGUGGGGGAUAACGUAGGGAAACUUACGCUAAUACCGCAUACGACCUACGGGUGAAAGCAGGGGAUCUUCGGACCUUGCGCGAUUGAAUGAGCCGAUGUCGGAUUAGCUAGUUGGCGGGGUAAAGUCCCACCAAGGCGACGAUCCGUAGCUGGUCUGAGAGGAUGAUCAGCCACACUGGAACUGGGACACGGGCCAGACUACUACGGGAGGCAGCAGUGGGGAAUAUUGGACAAUGGGCGGAAGCCUGAUGCAGCAAUACCGCGUGGGUGAAGAAGGCAUUAGGGUUGUAAAGCCCUUUUGUUGGGAAAGAAAAGCAGCAGGUUAAUACACCGCUGUUAUGACGGUAACCAAAGAAUAAGCACCGGCUAACUUCGUG